Molecule: non-coding RNA, 20 nt
Filed under: Drosophila melanogaster (fruit fly)
Lineage: Eukaryota; Metazoa; Arthropoda; Insecta; Diptera; Drosophilidae
Source: RNAcentral
UUGACAAAAUAUUCCCUUCA